UUUUUAAACCGACCGAACCGAAGAUUCCUUUUGACCAUUUCCAUCGUCAGGACUAAAGAAUCGCGACUUAAAUCGUCUGGAUCGCCGCUUUUUAUCCUGUCGUCAGUCAGUCUACUUACUAAGCUUCAGCACCUGCUGCAGUCUCCAUAGCACCAACUAAGUCUAGAGGCAGAGAGCUGAGUGGUCCCACAUCAACAGUGUCCAGAGGCAGUCCUGUAUAUGUGCAUGUCUCCUCGUUGCAUGCAGUAAUACAGCCAGCAACAACUUCUCCCCCUCCGGCUCCACUCCCUGGUGUGCCUGGCAAGUACAUAUACUGCCCGGCUAAGGUAUUUUCACAAUACCAAGCACAAGGCAUGGCAAGGAAGAUGACCUGGAGUGAGUUUCAGACCACUGCCUUUUAUGAAAAGGAGAAACAAAGAUCAAUUAUCUUGAUCAGCUGAGAGAGGAAAAUGAAGCACAAACGUAUGCACACACAGACAUGCGCAUGUACGCAC
Long non-coding RNA from Conger conger (European conger), 494 nucleotides. RefSeq lists it as uncharacterized. The transcript is spliced from 4 exons. The record is from RefSeq and is a predicted model, not a curated record. Lineage: Eukaryota; Metazoa; Chordata; Actinopteri; Anguilliformes; Congridae.